This 253-nucleotide ribosomal RNA is filed under the name uncultured bacterium. Its description in RNAcentral is "partial 16S ribosomal RNA". It matches the Rfam family "Bacterial small subunit ribosomal RNA", at positions 524 to 776 of the family's 1533-position model. The record is from RNAcentral.
GACGUAGGGGGCAAGCGUUGUCCGGAAUCAUUGGGCGUAAAGCGCGUGUAGGCGGCUCGGUAAGUCUGCUGUGAAAGUCCAGGGCUCAACCCUGGAAAGCCGGUGGAAACUGUCGAGCUAGAGUCCGGAAGAGGCGAGUGGAAUUCCUGGUGUAGCGGUGAAAUGCGCAGAUAUCAGGAGGAACACCAAUGGCGAAGGCAGCUCGCUGGGACGGUACUGACGCUGAGACGCGAAAGCGUGGGGAGCAAACAGG